RNAcentral lists this ribosomal RNA (552 nucleotides) under Bacillus cereus. Its description in RNAcentral is "bacterial SSU rRNA". It matches the Rfam family "Bacterial small subunit ribosomal RNA", at positions 1 to 532 of the family's 1533-position model. The record is from RNAcentral. Lineage: Bacteria; Bacillati; Bacillota; Bacilli; Caryophanales; Bacillaceae.
UUUAUUGGAGAGUUUGAUCCUGGCUCAGGAUGAACGCUGGCGGCGUGCCUAAUACAUGCAAGUCGAGCGAAUGGAUUGAGAGCUUGCUCUCAAGAAGUUAGCGGCGGACGGGUGAGUAACACGUGGGUAACCUGCCCAUAAGACUGGGAUAACUCCGGGAAACCGGGGCUAAUACCGGAUAACAUUUUGAACUGCAUGGUUCGAAAUUGAAAGGCGGCUUCGGCUGUCACUUAUGGAUGGACCCGCGUCGCAUUAGCUAGUUGGUGAGGUAACGGCUCACCAAGGCAACGAUGCGUAGCCGACCUGAGAGGGUGAUCGGCCACACUGGGACUGAGACACGGCCCAGACUCCUACGGGAGGCAGCAGUAGGGAAUCUUCCGCAAUGGACGAAAGUCUGACGGAGCAACGCCGCGUGAGUGAUGAAGGCUUUCGGGUCGUAAAACUCUGUUGUUAGGGAAGAACAAGUGCUAGUUGAAUAAGCUGGCACCUUGACGGUACCUAACCAGAAAGCCACGGCUAACUACGUGCCAGCAGCCGCGGUAAUACGUAGGU